Molecule: ribosomal RNA, 964 nt
Filed under: Sylvisorex ollula (Greater Forest Shrew)
Lineage: Eukaryota; Metazoa; Chordata; Mammalia; Eulipotyphla; Soricidae
Description: partial 16S ribosomal RNA
Rfam family: Bacterial large subunit ribosomal RNA
Source: RNAcentral
AAAUCUUAAUGUAAAUUUAGAUAUUAAUCUCCAGAGGUACAGCUCUGGAGAAUAAGACUACAACCUUAAUUAGAGAGUAAAUAUAUAAAACAACCAUAGUUGGCCUAAAAGCAGCCAUCAAUUAAGAAAGCGUUCAAGCUCAACAAGAUAAUUAAAAACUAAUUCCAAACAUUAUAUAAACUCCUAACACAAACACUGGAUUAUUCCACAUAAAGUGGAAGAAAUACUGUUAAUAUGAGUAACAAGAUUUAUAAUCUCCAAACACAAGUGUAUAUCAGCCCAAAUACUUACUGAUAGUUAACAACCAAAUAAAACUACUUAUGCAAUUAAUAAUUUUCCAUUAUACUGUUAACCCAACACUGGCGUGUACAUCAAGGAAAGAUUAAAAAAAGUAAAAGGAACUCGGCAAACACAAACCCCGCCUGUUUACCAAAAACAUCACCUCUAGCAUAAUAAGUAUUAGAGGCACUGCCUGCCCAGUGACAUUAGUUAAACGGCCGCGGUAUCCUGACCGUGCAAAGGUAGCAUAAUCAUUUGUUCCUUAAUUAGGGACUUGUAUGAAUGGCCACACGAGGGUUUAACUGUCUCUUACUUUUAAUCAGUGAAAUUGACCUCCCCGUGAAGAGGCGGGGAUAAAAAAAUAAGACGAGAAGACCCUAUGGAGCUUAAAUUAAAUUAUCCAAUAAUAUAAAAAUGACCCCGACAGGAACAAAACUACAUUAUAUGGAUAAUAAAUUUUGGUUGGGGUGACCUCGGAGCAUAACAUAACCUCCGAGUAAUUUAACCAAGACCCACUUGUCAAAGUGCUAAAACUUAUUGAUCCAAUCAAUAUUGAUCAACGGAACAAGUUACCCUAGGGAUAACAGCGCAAUCCUAUUUGAGAGUCCAUAUCGACAAUAGGGUUUACGACCUCGAUGUUGGAUCAGGACACCCAAAUGGUGCAGCAGCUAUUAAAGGUUCGUUU